CAGCCGCCGCGGGAAUACAGAGGGUGCAAGCGUUAAUCGGAAUUACUGGGCGUAAAGCGCGCGUAGGUGGUUUGUUAAGUUGAAUGUGAAAUCCCCGGGCUCAACCUGGGAACUGCAUCCAAAACUGGCAAGCUAGAGUAGGGCAGAGGGUGGUGGAAUUUCCUGUGUAGCGGUGAAAUGCGUAGAUAUAGGAAGGAACACCAGUGGCGAAGGCGACCACCUGGGCUCAUACUGACACUGAGGUGCGAAAGCGUGGGGAGCAAACAGGAUUAGAUACCCGAGUAGUCCCUGUCUCUUAUAC
This 301-nucleotide ribosomal RNA is filed under the name uncultured bacterium. RNAcentral describes it as "partial 16S ribosomal RNA". It matches the Rfam family "Bacterial small subunit ribosomal RNA", at positions 509 to 807 of the family's 1533-position model. The record is from RNAcentral.